CCCCAAGGGGGUUCAGAGGGUCCAGGGUGCUGCCCUAGGGGGUUUGGGGUCCAGGGUGCUGCCCAAGGGGGUUUGGGCUCCAGCUGGAGUUCCCUGAAACCUUUGGCCAGCAGGGCUUGGCUGUAGAAGAGCAAAUCUGGCUCUUUGCUCAAGGACCAGCUUAGGCCGAAUUUCCUAACCCAAUUUAAAUUGGGCCUUGAGCUGGCAGAGCAUUUCUGAGCCCUGUGUCUCCCUCCUCCUGUACCCCAGUGAAACCUCCCCAAACUGAAGGGUUCUUGUCCCUGUGCUUGUCCCACACAGGCCCUGCUGAGCUGCUCGAGGCCUGGCUGGCUCAGUUCAGCCUGGAGGAGAAGAAAGGGGAGAUUGCAGAGCUGCUGGCCACCAGCCCUUCCAUCAGGGCACUCUACACCAAAAUGGUGCCUGUGGCUGUUUCCCACCUGGAGUUCUGGCAGCGCUACUUCUACAAACUGCAUUGCCUGGAGCAGGAUGAAGCCCGGAGGGAGGCUCUGAAGCAGCGAGCAGAGCAGAGCAUGCAGCAAGAGGAGCCAGGCUGGGAGGAGGAUGAAGGUGGGACAGGUUUUGGGGCUUUCAUGGGGUGGUGGCUUCUCCUCACUGCCACAAAUCACAGAGAUCUCUGCUCUGUGAGCAGUGGUGGGAUCUGAGGGAAUGCCUGGAGCUGUGUCAGGUUGGAAAUGAGGAAAUGUUCUCCCCCCCUGAGGGUGCUGGCACUGCCCAGGCUCCCCAGGGAAUGGGCACAGCCCCAAAGCUGGCACAGCUCCAGGCCAAGGCUCUCAGGGAUGCCCAGGGUGGGAUUUUUGGGGUGUCUGUGCAGGGCCAGGGGUUGGCCUGGGUGAUCCCUGUGGGUCCCUCCCAGCUCAGGGCAUUCUGUGAUUCUGUGCAAUCCAGCUCAGGGCAUUCUGU
This 921-nucleotide long non-coding RNA is filed under the name Junco hyemalis (dark-eyed junco). RNAcentral describes it as "lncRNA (ENSJHYG00000007024.1)". The record is from RNAcentral. Lineage: Eukaryota; Metazoa; Chordata; Aves; Passeriformes; Passerellidae.